ACCGCGGUGAUAGCUCAGUGGGUAAAGCGCCAGGUGAGAAACUCGGAGAGCUAUUAUCUGCGCGGGUUCGAAUCCCGCCUGUGGCA
Molecule: transfer RNA, 86 nt
Filed under: Aromia moschata
Lineage: Eukaryota; Metazoa; Arthropoda; Insecta; Coleoptera; Cerambycidae
Description: tRNA-OTHER
Rfam family: tRNA
About the family: Transfer RNA (tRNA) molecules are approximately 80 nucleotides in length. Their secondary structure includes four short double-helical elements and three loops (D, anti-codon, and T loops). Further hydrogen bonds mediate the characteristic L-shaped molecular structure. tRNAs have two regions of fundamental functional importance: the anti-codon, which is responsible for specific mRNA codon recognition, and the 3' end, to which the tRNAs corresponding amino acid is attached (by aminoacyl-tRNA synthetases). tRNAs cope with the degeneracy of the genetic code in two manners: having more than one tRNA (with a specific anti-codon) for a particular amino acid; and 'wobble' base-pairing, i.e. permitting non-standard base-pairing at the 3rd anti-codon position.
Source: RNAcentral